This 73-nucleotide transfer RNA is filed under the name Cricetulus griseus (Chinese hamster). It matches the Rfam family "tRNA". From Rfam's summary of the family: Transfer RNA (tRNA) molecules are approximately 80 nucleotides in length. Their secondary structure includes four short double-helical elements and three loops (D, anti-codon, and T loops). Lineage: Eukaryota; Metazoa; Chordata; Mammalia; Rodentia; Cricetidae. The record is from Rfam by way of RNAcentral.
GGAGAUGUAGCUCAGUGGGUAGAGCACUUGCCUGCUGUGCGUGAAGCCCUGGGUUGCCUCCCCAGCACCUCGU